UUUUUAAAAUAUCAGAAGAAAAAAAAGGAAAAGAGCUAUGUUUUUUUUAUACAAGUGAUACGAAAAAGAAGAAUGAAAAAAAUAAUCGUGUUUUAAUUUGGUGGUUACGUUCUGAAUGAAGAAGAAGGAGUUAGCUAUUUGACUUGUUCUUCUUCUUGGACACGUGUCAUGAACCCAUUGGGAGGUAAAAAAUUUAAAAAA
Molecule: long non-coding RNA, 201 nt
Filed under: Lathyrus oleraceus (garden pea)
Lineage: Eukaryota; Viridiplantae; Streptophyta; Magnoliopsida; Fabales; Fabaceae
Description: Pisum sativum (pea) long non-coding RNA (PSAT_LNC014899)
Source: RNAcentral